Tigriopus californicus is the source of this 785-nucleotide long non-coding RNA. RefSeq lists it as uncharacterized. Lineage: Eukaryota; Metazoa; Arthropoda; Copepoda; Harpacticoida; Harpacticidae. The record is from RefSeq and is a predicted model, not a curated record. The transcript has 3 exons.
UAGCGAGCGAGAGCGAAACCGGCAAGUCUAGAGCCCGACAAACAGCCCGACAAACACCGGCCAACCUCUUUCAAAUCAUCGGAUGCCAGUCCGAUUUGAACCGCCUCUUACUUUUAGUCGGAGGAGAAGGUCUAUAAAUGACACUCUACAUACAUGCAAAGUGCAGUUUGUCCCCACGUAUGAUUUGUUUUCAUGGGAGACCUUGACUAUUGUCACGAGCAAGCUCACUGAGGUCCCGGACCAAACCCCUGCUUCAAGAGAAACCCCUGUCCCGUCCACGAGAGGCUGAGUGAGGUAGAGAGGAGGAAAACAACUGAACCACGAGGAUACUUGGCCAAUAUUUUGUACUUUUAAUUGAAUAUAUAACGUUCGUUAAUCCGAGUGUUUUUCGAUCUUAUUAACUCUAUCAGUCACGCUACUUGUCUCGCCACCAAGCUAAUGUGGGGGGACAUGUUGUGCCAUCAUCCGCCUGGUACCCAACAAGAGUGCCUGACCCAGGGAGCUUGCUAGUUGUCCCAUUUGCAAUGUAUUCAUCAUCAUAGCAAGCAGACGAUUUGAUAAUUUCUCGCCUAUCUUUGGCUUUUUUAACUUAAUUUUUUGUGCCAAUUGUUCUUUCUUUGCAUAGAGACGUGUAAAGUAUCGCAUCGUGUUUCAGCUGUGUGAGCUAGCCAGGCUGCAGCGCAAUUGCAGCAAAAACUACCAUGAUUUUAGCAAACCCAGUGCUUCCAAAUCUUCAUUGACAAAAUUGUUUGCCAUCUUAGGACAUCGUUUGACAAUUAUCUAAA